Molecule: ribosomal RNA, 291 nt
Filed under: uncultured bacterium
Lineage: Bacteria
Description: partial 16S ribosomal RNA
Rfam family: Bacterial small subunit ribosomal RNA
Source: RNAcentral
GGAUUAGAUACCCUGGUAGUCCACGCCCUAAACGAUGUCAACUAGUUGUUGGGUCUUUUCUGAUUUGGUAACGAAGCUAACGCGUGAAGUUGACCGCCUGGGGAGUACGGCCGCAAGGUUAAAACUCAAAGGAAUUGACGGGGACCCGCACAAGCGGUGGAUGAUGUGGAUUAAUUCGAUGAUACGCGAGGAACCUUACCUGGGCUCGAAUGGAUUUGGACAAUUUCUGAAAGGAAAUCUCUCUUCGGAGCUGAAUUCAAGGUGCUGCAUGGUUGUCGUCAGCUCGUGUUG